GAGAGGUAUAUAAGGAGUAAAGAGGGAUGGGGGAGAGAGGUAUAUAAGGAGUAAAGAGGGAUGGGGAGAGAGGUAUAUAAGGAGUAAAGAGGGAUGGGGGAGAGAGGUAUAUAAGGAGUAAAGAGGGAUGGGGAGAGAGGUAUAUAAGGAGUAAAGAGGGAUGGGGGAGAGAGGUAUAUAAGGAGUAAAGAGGGAUGGGGGAGAGAGGUAUAUAAGGAGUAAAGAGGGAUGGGGGAGAGAGGUAUAUAAGGAGUAAAGAGGGAUGGGGGAGAGAGGUAUAUAAGGAGUAAAGAGGGAUGGGGGAGAGAGGUAUAUAAGGAGUAAAGAGGGAUGGGGGAGAGAGGUAUAUAAGGAGGAAAGGGGGAUGGGGAGAGAGGUAUAUAGGGAGGAAAGAGGGAUGGGGAGAGAGGUAUAUAGGGAGGAAAGAGGGAUGGGGAGAGAGGUAUAUAGGGAGGAAAGAGGGAUGGGGAGAGAGGUAUAUAGGAGUAAAGAGGGAUGGGGAGAGAGGUAUAUAGGAGGAAAGAGGGAUGGGGAGAGAGGUAUAUAGGGAGGAAAGAGGGAUGGGGAGAGAGGUAUAUAGGGAGGAAAGAGGGAUGGGGAGAGAGGUAUAUAGGGAGGAAAGAGGGAUGGGGAGAGAGGUAUAUAGGGAGGAAAGAGGGAUGGGGAGAGAGGUAUAUAGGGAGGAAAGAGGGAUGGGGAGAGAGGUAUAUAGGGAGGAAAGAGGGAUGGGGAGAGAGGUAUAUAGGGAGGAAAGAGGGAUGGGGAGAGAGGUAUAUAGGAGUAAAGAGGGAUGGGGAGAGAGGUAUAUAGGAGGAAAGAGGGAUGGGGAGAGAGGUAUAUAGGAGGAAAGAGGGAUGGGGAGAGAGGUAUAUAAGGAGUAAAGAGGGAUGGGGGAGAGAGGUAUAUAAGGAGUAAAGAGGGA
Molecule: long non-coding RNA, 922 nt
Organism: Oncorhynchus keta (chum salmon)
Lineage: Eukaryota; Metazoa; Chordata; Actinopteri; Salmoniformes; Salmonidae
Exons: 4
Source: RefSeq, a predicted model, not a curated record